This is a long non-coding RNA of Amphiprion ocellaris (clown anemonefish), 1012 nucleotides long. The record is from Ensembl. Lineage: Eukaryota; Metazoa; Chordata; Actinopteri; Pomacentridae.
CUUGAAUUAAUUAUGAACAUGAUUAAGAAAGCUAAAAUCUCAGGAGCCAGUCUCUCAUUACCCAUUCACUCUUAGGGAUUGCUUUCAUUCAGGGAAGGAGAGGCGAAAAAGCCUUCCAGCAGAGCCCACUCCGGCUCAGCUCUUCUCCCUGUGUGCCUGUCCCCUUGUCUCUGCUGCCGGGCCAACUGACCAAGCCUCCGACAGACAGACCGGCCGGCCGGCCGCCAGCCCGCCCGCCGCCUGGACGGCUCUCUUGCACUCAUGCCUGUUAUGGUGAUGUGGCCAAGCUCAGCUAGCUGCUUCGUGGCCUCUGACGUUUGCAUGGAAAAGAGAGGAUGUGCUCAACCUUCCUGUUCUACACCUGAGUUCAAGCUCUGGGGUCUUGACCCUCUUAAAAAAAGAAACACUCGAGAUGAGCCCUGGCAGCCACAACGAACACAGCCAAGAGCAUGGUAACCUUUUCACCCACAUACGUAAGAUUCUGAUUUGAAAACACAAAAUUGAAGCUUUUACUAAAAGAAAGAAUGGAUCUUUUAAACAGCGUGAGUAAAGAUAUUGCACAGACAAGUAUCAGACUCAAAUAUCACCAUCAAAGAAUGAUCAGAAAACAUUUAGCGCAUGACUUGAAAUAUUACCAACAUCGCCAAGAGAAACCAAACAACUUAAGGUUGGAUAAAUGACACGCUUACAUGAACGCUCUGACUGGGAUGUAAAAGAAUAAUUUUGUCGCCGCUAGAAAACAUAUGAAGAAAUGCCAGUUUUGAAAAAUGUCAUCUUUAAAAGGGAAAUCUAAAUGUCAGAGAGACAGAUACUUUACACAUAGAGAGCGCUGCCUUCUGGGCGUAACACAGAAAGGCGUGAGAAUAAUAUUUUUUUCCCAGUUGAAAUGAACUGCAAUUACCCGUCAUCAGGCACAGAAAGCAGCACGCUUCACAUCCACAGUCACAUCGCCUGGAGAGGAGCGUGGUCACUGUUUGCAACAUUAGUCAGGAAAUCUGAGGAGGAAAGCACA